Molecule: ribosomal RNA, 253 nt
Filed under: uncultured bacterium
Lineage: Bacteria
Also listed under: 1 other name
Description: partial 16S ribosomal RNA
Rfam family: Bacterial small subunit ribosomal RNA
Source: RNAcentral
UACGAAGGGGGCUAGCGUUGCUCGGAAUCACUGGGCGUAAAGGGCGCGUAGGCGGCUUGCCAAGUCGGGGGUGAAAGCCCGUGGCUCAACCACGGAAUGGCCUUCGAUACUGGCAGGCUUGAGACCGGAAGAGGACAGCGGAACUGCGAGUGUAGAGGUGAAAUUCGUAGAUAUUCGCAAGAACACCAGUGGCGAAGGCGGCUGUCUGGUCCGGUUCUGACGCUGAGGCGCGAAAGCGUGGGGAGCAAACAGG